GCCUGGGUGGCUCAGUUGGUUAAGCAUCUGACUCUUGAGUUCAGCUCAGGUUAUGAUCUCAUGGUCUGUGGGUUCAAGCCCCUCAUCAGGCU
Felis catus (domestic cat) is the source of this 92-nucleotide non-coding RNA. The record is from Rfam. NCBI's taxonomy places the organism in Eukaryota, Metazoa, Chordata, Mammalia, Carnivora, Felidae.